UCAGCAUACCCCUACUCCUCCUCCUCCCCUGACGACCACUGAUACAAGUUGUGAAUCAGUGGUGACGACGAGCGGCCAUCAGCGUGAUGCGGCCACCCCUGCUGGGUACACACUACUAUUUUAAUUUUCUCUCAUUUCUUCCUAUAAUCAUACUUUUUCUUUAAUAAUAAUAAUAAUAAUAUAUUAAUUGUUGGUGAAAUAUUGGGUUUGGGCUGGGUGGAUUCUCUAGACUUUUGUCGAUUGCAGAGGAG
This 251-nucleotide long non-coding RNA is filed under the name Linum usitatissimum (flax). RNAcentral describes it as "long non-coding RNA (LUSI_LNC000562)". Lineage: Eukaryota; Viridiplantae; Streptophyta; Magnoliopsida; Malpighiales; Linaceae. The record is from RNAcentral.